AGCGAACGCUGGCGGCAGGCCUAACACAUGCAAGUCGAACGAACUCUUCGGAGUUAGUGGCGGACGGGUGAGUAACACGUGGGAACGUGCCUUUUGGUUCGGAAUAACUCAGGGAAACUUGUGCUAAUACCGAAUGUGCCCUUCGGGGGAAAGAUUUAUCGCCAUUAGAGCGGCCCGCGUCUGAUUAGCGAGUUGGUGAGGUAACGGCUCACCAAGGCGACGAUCAGUAGCUGGUCUGUGAGGAUGACUAGCCACACUGGGACUGAGACACGGCCCAGACUCCUACGGGAGGCAGCAGUGGGGAAUCUUGCGCAAUGGGCGAAAGCCUGACGCAGCCACGCCGCGUGAAUGAUGAAGGUCGUAGGAUUGUAAAAUUCUUUCACCGGAGACGAUAAUGACGGUACCCGGAGAAGAAGCCCCGGCUAACUUCGUG
Molecule: ribosomal RNA, 433 nt
Filed under: uncultured bacterium
Lineage: Bacteria
Description: partial 16S ribosomal RNA
Rfam family: Bacterial small subunit ribosomal RNA
Source: RNAcentral